Molecule: ribosomal RNA, 497 nt
Filed under: uncultured bacterium
Lineage: Bacteria
Description: partial 16S ribosomal RNA
Rfam family: Bacterial small subunit ribosomal RNA
Source: RNAcentral
GAUGAACGCUGGCGGCGUGCCUAAUACAUGCAAGUCGAGCGAACAGACGAGGAGCUUGCUCCUCUGACGUUAGCGGCGGACGGGUGUGUAACACGUGGAUAACCUACCUAUAAGACUGGGAUAACUUCGGGAAACCGGAGCUAAUACCGGAUAAUAUAUUGAACCGCAUGGUUCAAUAGUGAAAGACGGUUUUGCUGUCACUUAUAGAUGGAUCCGCGCCGCAUUAGCUAGUUGGUAAGGUAACGGCUUACCAAGGCAACGAUGCGUAGCCGACCUGAGAAGGUGAUCGGCCACACUGGAACUGAGACACGGUCCAGACUCCUACGGGAGGCAGCAGUAGGGAAUCUUCCGCAAUGGGCGAAAGCCUGACGGAGCAACGCCGCGUGAGUGAUGAGGGUCUUCGGAUCGUAAAACUCUGUUAUUAGGGAAGAACAAAUGUGUAAGUAACUAUGCACGUCUUGACGGUACCUAAUCAGAAAGCCACGGCUAACUACGUG